Molecule: ribosomal RNA, 501 nt
Filed under: uncultured bacterium
Lineage: Bacteria
Description: partial 16S ribosomal RNA
Rfam family: Bacterial small subunit ribosomal RNA
Source: RNAcentral
AUUGAACGCUGGCGGCAGGCUUAACACAUGCAAGUCGAGCGGGGGAAGGUAGCUUGCUACCGGACCUAGCGGCGGACGGGUGAGUAAUGCUUAGGAAUCUGCCUAUUAGUGGGGGACAACAUCUCGAAAGGGAUGCUAAUACCGCAUACGUCCUACGGGAGAAAGCAGGGGAUCUUCGGACCUUGCGCUAAUAGAUGAGCCUAAGUCGGAUUAGCUAGUUGGUGGGGUAAAGGCCUACCAAGGCGACGAUCUGUAGCGGGUCUGAGAGGAUGAUUCGCCACACUGGGACUGAGACACGGCCCAGACUCCUACGGGAGGCAGCAGUGGGGAAUAUUGGACAAUGGGGGGAACCCUGAUCCAGCCAUGCCGCGAGUGUGAAGAAGGCCUUAUGGUUGUAAAGCACUUUAAGCGAGGAGGAGGCUACUCUAGUUAAUACCUAGGGAUAGUGGACGUUACUCGCAGAAUAAGCACCGGCUAACUCUGUGCCAGCAGCCGCGGUAA